AUUUCCAGGGGCAGCAGGGGGCUCUGGGAGCUGUAGGUUCUUGGUUAGCUCCCUGUCUAUAGAGCAAGCCCUGGAGCAGGGAAAGAACUAUAUUUCCCAGCAUUCCCUUGGCCACUACCAACUGGAAAAGAAG
Gopherus evgoodei (Goodes thornscrub tortoise) is the source of this 133-nucleotide long non-coding RNA. RefSeq lists it as uncharacterized. Lineage: Eukaryota; Metazoa; Chordata; Testudines; Testudinidae. The transcript has 3 exons. The record is from RefSeq and is a predicted model, not a curated record.